GAGUGUGUCUGUGUGUGAGUAUGUGUGUCUGUGUAUGAGUGUGAAUGUGUAUUAGUGUCUCUUUGUGAGUGUGUGUCUGUGUGUGAGUGUGUGAGUGUGUGUCUGUGUGUGAAUGUGUGAGUAUGUGUGUCUGUGUAUGAGUGUGAAUGUGUAUGAGUGUGUCUGUGUGUGAAUGUGUGUGUGAGUAUGUGUCUGUGUGUGAAUGUGUGUGUGAGUAUGUGUCUGUGUAUGAGUGUGAAUGUGUAUGAGUGUGUCUGUGUGUGAAUGUGUGAGUAUGUGUGUCUGUGUAUGAGUGUGAAUGUGUAUGAGUGUGUCUGUGUGUGAAUGUGUGUGUGAGUAUGUGUGUCUGUGUAUGAGUGUGAAUGUGUAUGAGUGUCUGUGUGUGAGUGUGUGUCUGUGUGUGAGUGUGUGUGUAGGUCAGAAUACAACCUUGGAUUUUCUUGGGCUUUGUUCCUUCAUAGUUGCCCAUUUGUUGUUUGACACAGUCUCUCGGUGAGACCUAGGGUCUCUGACUAGGCUGGGCUGGCUGGACAGCAAGGGACAGGGACAUUUUCCUCCCCUGGAUACGUGUCACCAUGCCCAGCAUUUUGUGUGAGCAAAUCAAACUCAGGUCUUCUUGCUUCUGUGGCAGUCACUUUACUGACUAUGUUAUCAUCC
This 657-nucleotide long non-coding RNA is filed under the name Rattus norvegicus (Norway rat). RNAcentral describes it as "long non-coding RNA NONRATT024786". The record is from RNAcentral. Lineage: Eukaryota; Metazoa; Chordata; Mammalia; Rodentia; Muridae.